This 460-nucleotide ribosomal RNA is filed under the name uncultured bacterium. Its description in RNAcentral is "partial 16S ribosomal RNA". It matches the Rfam family "Bacterial small subunit ribosomal RNA", at positions 338 to 795 of the family's 1533-position model. The record is from RNAcentral.
CCUACGGGGGGCAGCAGUGAGGAAUAUUGGUCAAUGGACGAGAGUCUGAACCAGCCAAGUAGCGUGAAGGAUGACUGCCCUAUGGGUUGUAAACUUCUUUUAUAUGGGAAUAAAAUGUUCCACGUGUGGGCUUUUGUAUGUCCCAUAUGAAUAAGGAUCGGCUAACUCCGUGCCAGCAGCCGCGGUAAUACGGAGGAUCCGAGCGUUAUCCGGAUUUAUUGGGUUUAAAGGGAGCGUAGGUGGAUUGUUAAGUCAGUUGUGAAAGUUUGCGGCUCAACCGUAAAAUUGCAGUUGAAACUGGCAGUCUUGAGUACAGGAGAGGUGGGCGGAAUUCGUGGUGUAGCGGUGAAAUGCGUAGAUAUCACGAAGAACUCCGAUGGCGAAGGCAGCUCACUGGACUGCAACUGACACUGAGGCUCGAAAGUGUGGGUAUCAAACAGGAUUAGAUACCCGAGUAGUC